This 284-nucleotide unclassified non-coding RNA is filed under the name Mucor circinelloides. Its description in RNAcentral is "partial internal transcribed spacer region". The stretch from base 1 to 46 matches the Rfam family "Eukaryotic small subunit ribosomal RNA", at positions 1786 to 1831 of the family's 1831-position model. The record is from RNAcentral. Lineage: Eukaryota; Fungi; Mucoromycota; Mucoromycetes; Mucorales; Mucoraceae.
AAGUCGUAACAAGGUUUCCGUAGGUGAACCUGCGGAAGGAUCAUUAAAUAAUCAAUAAUUUUGGCUUGUCCAUUAUUAUCUAUUUACUGUGAACUGUAUUAUUACUUGACGCUUGAGGGAUGCUCCACUGCUAUAAGGAUAGGCGGUGGGGAUGUUAACCGAGUCAUAGUCAAGCUUAGGCUUGGUAUCCUAUUAUUAUUUACCAAAAGAAUUCAGAAUUAAUAUUGUAACAUAGACCUAAAAAAUCUAUAAAACAACUUUCAACAACGGAUCUCUUGGCUCUC